AGUGAACGCUGGCGGUAGGCCUAACACAUGCAAGUCGAACGGCAGCACAGUAAGAGCUUGCUCUUACGGGUGGCGAGUGGCGGACGGGUGAGGAAUACAUCGGAAUCUACUUUUUCGUGGGGGAUAACGUAGGGAAGCUUACGCUAAUACCGCAUACGACCUACGGGUGAAAGCAGGGGAUCUUCGGACCUUGCGCGAUUGAAUGAGCCGAUGUCGGAUUAGCUAGUUGGCGGGGUAAAGGCCCACCAAGGCGACGAUCCGUAGCUGGUCUGAGAGGAUGAUCAGCCACACUGGAACUGAGACACGGUCCAGACUCCUACGGGAGGCAGCAGUGGGGAAUAUUGGACAAUGGGCGCAAGCCUGAUCCAGCCAUACCGCGUGGGUGAAGAAGGCCUUCGGGUUGUAAAGCCCUUUUGUUGGGAAAGAAAAGCAGCAGGCUAAUACCCCGCUGUUCUGACGGUACCCAAAGAAUAAGCACCGGCUAACUUCGUG
This 492-nucleotide ribosomal RNA is filed under the name uncultured bacterium. RNAcentral describes it as "partial 16S ribosomal RNA". It matches the Rfam family "Bacterial small subunit ribosomal RNA", at positions 29 to 507 of the family's 1533-position model. The record is from RNAcentral.